RNAcentral lists this ribosomal RNA (445 nucleotides) under uncultured bacterium. RNAcentral's name for it is "partial 16S ribosomal RNA". It matches the Rfam family "Bacterial small subunit ribosomal RNA", at positions 354 to 796 of the family's 1533-position model. The record is from RNAcentral.
GUAGGGAAUAUUGGGCAAUGGAUGCAAGUCUGACCCAGCCAUCCCGCGUGCCGGAAGAAGGCCCUCAGGGUUGUAAACGGCUUUUGACGGUGAAGAAUCGACAGGAUGCGUCCUGUUUUGACGGUAGCCGUUGAAUAAGCACCGGCUAACUCCGUGCCAGCAGCCGCGGUAAUACGGAGGGUGCGAGCGUUGUCCGGAUUUAUUGGGUUUAAAGGGUGCGUAGGCUGGAAGGUCAGUCAGCGGUGAAAAGCUGUCGCUUAACGAUAGUAUUGCCGCAGAUACUUCCUUUCGUGGAUGAGGAGGAGGCCACUGGAACGGAUGGUGUAGCGGUGAAAUGGAUAGAUAUCAUCCAGAACACCGAUUGCGAAGGCAGGUGGCUGUACCUUAAUCGACGCUGAUGCACGAAAGCAUGGGGAGCAAACAGGAUUAGAUACCCUGGUAGUCC